This 508-nucleotide ribosomal RNA is filed under the name uncultured glomeraceous AM fungus. RNAcentral's name for it is "SSU rRNA". It matches the Rfam family "Eukaryotic small subunit ribosomal RNA", at positions 569 to 1078 of the family's 1831-position model. Lineage: Eukaryota; Fungi; Glomeromycota; Glomeromycetes; Glomerales; Glomeraceae. The record is from RNAcentral.
AGCAGCCGCGGUAAUUCCAGCUCCAAUAGCGUAUAUUAAAGUUGUUGCAGUUAAAAAGCUCGUAGUUGAAUUUCGGGGUUAGUAGAUUGGUCAUGCCUCUGGUAUGUACUGGUCUCACUGAUUCCUCCUUCCUGAUGAACCUUAAUGCCAUUAAUUUGGUGUUUUGGGGAAUUUGGACUGUUACUUUGAAAAAAUUAGAGUGUUUAAAGCAAGCUAACGCUUGAAUACAUUAGCAUGGAAUAAUGAAAUAGGACGUUCGAUCCUAUUUUGUUGGUUUCUAGGAUUGACGUAAUGAUUAAUAGGGAUAGUUGGGGGCAUUAGUAUUCAAUCGUCAGAGGUGAAAUUCUUGGAUUUAUUGAAGACUAACUACUGCGAAAGCAUUUGCCAAGGAUGUUUUCAUUAAUCAAGAACGAAAGUUAGGGGAUCGAAGACGAUCAGAUACCGUCGUAGUCUUAACCAUAAACUAUGCCGACUAGGGAUCGGAUGAUGUUAAUUUUUUAAUGACUCA